This 376-nucleotide ribosomal RNA is filed under the name uncultured organism. Its description in RNAcentral is "partial 16S ribosomal RNA". It matches the Rfam family "Bacterial small subunit ribosomal RNA", at positions 526 to 896 of the family's 1533-position model. The record is from RNAcentral.
GGAGGGGUGCGAGCGUUAAUCGGGAAUUACUGGGGCGUAAAGCGAGUGCAGGCGGCUGCGUCAGUCGGAUGUGAAAGCCCCCGGGGCUUAACCUGGGAAUGGCAUUCGAUACUGCGCAGCUAGAGUCUGGUAGAGGGAAGUGGAAUUCCAGGUGUAGCGGUGAAAUGCGUAGAUAUCUGGAGGAACAUCAGUGGCGAAGGCGGCUUCCUGGACCAAGACUGACGCUCAGGCUCGAAAGCGUGGGUAGCAAACAGGAUUAGAUACCCUGGUAGUCCACGCCCUAAACGAUGUCAACUAGACGUUGGGUUCAUUAAAGAACUUAGUGUCGAAGCUAACGCGUUAAGUUGACCGCCUGGGGAGUACGGCCGCAAGGUUG